GCGGCUUAAUUUGACUCAACGCGGGGUAAUUUACCAGGUAUAACAUGAUAUAAUAUUUUAUCAUGAUAGUGGUGCAUGGCCGUUUCCAAUGGAUGCUGUGAAGUAAUGAUUAAUUUCAACAAGAUGUGAGACCCUCGUUUAGACAGAUGUAGUGAUACAUAUGAAGGAGAGGAUUAAAACAGGUCCGUUAUGCCCUAAGAUAAUCUGGGUUGCACGCGCAAUACAAUAAUAUUUGAUAUUAUAAGGGAUAAUAUAAUGUAAGAUAUAUUUGAACAUGGAAUUGCUAGUAAAUUUUAUUUAAUAAGUAGAAUUGAAUGAGUCCCUGUUCUUUGUACACACCGCCCGUCGCUAUCUAAGAUGGUAUUAUCUAUGAACAAAUUUAUAAAGUGAAUAGAUAGUACUAGAUCUGAUAUAAGUCGUAACAUGGUUGCUGUUGGAGAACCAUUAGCAGGAUCAUAA
This 459-nucleotide ribosomal RNA is filed under the name Nosema bombycis. Its description in RNAcentral is "SSU rRNA". It matches the Rfam family "Microsporidia small subunit ribosomal RNA", at positions 819 to 1311 of the family's 1311-position model. Lineage: Eukaryota; Fungi; Microsporidia; Nosematidae. The record is from RNAcentral.